Non-coding RNA from Ameiurus melas (black bullhead), 76 nucleotides. Lineage: Eukaryota; Metazoa; Chordata; Actinopteri; Siluriformes; Ictaluridae. The record is from the annotation of a GenBank genome assembly.
GACACAGUGGCUAAGUGGUUAGCAUAAUGUUUGCCUCACACCUACAGGGUUGAGGGUUCAAAUCCCACCUCUGCCG